Molecule: ribosomal RNA, 233 nt
Filed under: Bacillus sp. AJ
Lineage: Bacteria; Bacillati; Bacillota; Bacilli; Caryophanales; Bacillaceae
Description: partial 16S ribosomal RNA
Rfam family: Bacterial small subunit ribosomal RNA
Source: RNAcentral
AAGGGCAGGAACCGAGGUAAGCCAAUCCCACAAAUUGGUCUCAGUUGGAUAGCAGUCUGCAACUCGACUGCGUGAAGCUGGAAUCGCUAGUAAUCGCGGAUCAGCAUGCCGCGGUGAAUACGUUCCCGGGCCUUGUACACACCGCCCGUCACACCACUAGAGUCUGUAACGCAAGAAGUCGGUGAGGUAACUUUUUAGGAGCGAGCCGCCGAAGGUGGACAGAUAUUGGGUGU